AAGGGCCAAGAAGACAAAACCCUAACUUCACAAAUUCUCCAAAAUCAGAAGGAAAUUAAGAGUUCUAAUGGAUGCAUGAACCCUAAAUCGAGUAAUCUAAGCUUGUUCAACCCUUGGUGUUAAGGAAGAGAGUUCAAGUCAAGCGAAGCAACAAGGGAAUCAAGACCGAGGUGUUAAGGAAGAGAGUUCAAGUCAAGCGAAGCAACAAGGGAAUCAAGACCGAGGUAAAUCUCAAGUUUAGUUCUCAUGCUUCGCCCGGUUCGAACACACUUCAAGACCCGCUCUACGUUCCGCUACUUUUGUAAAGAAGACAACGCUUAAUAUUUUGGUCACUUUGUUUAAGUCUAGUAGUUAUAAACUUAGUACUUGUAUGUAUUUUGAACUUAUCAAAUUUCGUAUGCGUGUCAAGACGUUUG
This is a long non-coding RNA of Helianthus annuus (common sunflower), 416 nucleotides long. RefSeq lists it as uncharacterized. The transcript is spliced from 4 exons. Lineage: Eukaryota; Viridiplantae; Streptophyta; Magnoliopsida; Asterales; Asteraceae. The record is from RefSeq and is a predicted model, not a curated record.